Molecule: long non-coding RNA, 957 nt
Filed under: Vulpes vulpes (red fox)
Lineage: Eukaryota; Metazoa; Chordata; Mammalia; Carnivora; Canidae
Description: lncRNA (ENSVVUG00000009975.1)
Source: RNAcentral
UCACUUGUGAAGUGUAUAAUUGUUUGUAUUAAUAUUAUUAAAAUUUAAUAACAAAAGUAAAGCAUCUAAUGAAUGUCUUACCCUUUGAUGAUGACAAUGACCAUACCACUACCAUGACACGUUCCCCUUGUCCUCACUUCCCUUCCUUUGUGACUUCUAAUGGAUCUCACACAAGAGAAAUGGACUACAACAAGAACAGAUGUGUGGCUAGAAAGUUAUCAUCUAUCUAGCUACUGUUGUCUACAAUUUUAUCAUUUCCUGUUUUCUCACUUCUGGGAAUCCCAGACAUCCUUCUAGAACUUCCUGUGCCAUCAAUACUGAACAUGUGACAUUCUAGGCAACUUCACUCCUGACAUCUUUUUAUGAGAACAAUGUUUUUGAAGAUUCUAAGCUCUGGAAGAAUAAGCGUGGAUUAUGACAAAAAUUUCUCAGGGUGCUGGCAGGUGGCCCAAUGCCACGCAUCUGGAAACCUACCCUGGACAUGUGGUGUUUCCUCCACUUACAGAGACCUGAGGGUGAGGAAAGAGAAAGUUUCCCAUUUCAAAGCUACAGAUCUUCCUUCUUUGAUACCCAAGCCUGAGUCCCAGAUCUCAUUGUCCUUUCUUUGUUUCAGCAGAAGCUUAAAAGAGUCUUUUGAUAUACAAAGGCAGGCCCAAUACAAGUGCAAAAUGAAAAGCCCAAUUUCUCUGCAUAAUAAAGUAAAGAGAAUUGAUGGUCACCUGAAAUAAGGUAAAAGUGGUAUUAAGAGGGUAACUGAAACAGGAGUGGAAGGGGCAGAAAUGACCACGGAACAUGUAAGUCCCAGAGGAACUGGAUAAUAGAACCAAUUUGAUUUAAAUUGCAAAAAAGCGAGGUGACCUUAGCUACCAUUUGGGUUAUGCAAUUCACCUCUCUUAACAGAACAUGCAGGCUGAGCACAACUUUCUCUCCACAGAAUAAACGUUGGGAACUGAGUCA